UAGCCUUUCUUAGCUACUCUUUCCAGCUCCUCUUGCCACUCAUUCAUAGAAAAUUUACCAGUGUCCCCAUGCCUCAUCAUCUUAUGAGAAGAGGGUACUGGAAGCCUCCUGAGGGACCCUCUGUGUGUCUGUCCUGGACCCAGGAGCUCAGUGGGAGAGGAGCAGUGGGGUGAGGCCGUGGCGUACGCGGUGCCAGUGAGCUGCGUGGGCGAUGUGGCGAGGCAGCUUGCUUAGUUGGUAGGUUUGGGGAAAACAGAGCCCAUUUUAGCCCAGAGCUUGCAGGCAUCAUUUCCACAUUUCCAUGUUCCCAGGACAAAGGUGGCAGGGAAUACUGAUGCCCUGGCACGGUGGAGUCUGUGUUAAAAGGGGACUGUGCUGCCUGUGGGAUGUAAACAGAAGCGGAUCAGCAGAGGCCUUUGUGCUGGAAGGAUCCAACGAGUCUCAUGUGAUACACCAGCAGACCUUUCUACACAUCUGGCUCAGGAGCCUGGCUUAAGAAAUAGGACCCAGCUCUGUGUAUUACCUGUGGAUUCUCAGGACCUGGAUUGCCUUCACCAUCUGGGGAGAGGGAGGAGAGGUUCGUCAGGAGUAUCGUAUGAGGGGAUGUACAUGAUAGCACGCCGGAAAGUGUGAAGUUCUGAACAAGCACAAGGAAGACUGAGAUCAGAGUUUCUUGCAAGUGCCCCGAGAGACUGUGAACUUUGAGAAGGCAAGAAUGUGGUCUAAUCUGCUCACCACGUUAUCUUCAGCACCAGCAUAUAUGGAUACUGAGCAAAUAUUUGUU
This is a long non-coding RNA of Lemur catta (Ring-tailed lemur), 784 nucleotides long. RefSeq lists it as uncharacterized. The transcript is spliced from 5 exons. The record is from RefSeq and is a predicted model, not a curated record. Lineage: Eukaryota; Metazoa; Chordata; Mammalia; Primates; Lemuridae.